CAAGGCUUGACAUGGAUUUCUAAGCACGUGAAAGCGUGUGACCCUUCGGGGAACUUCCACAGGUGCUGCAUGGCCGUCGUCAGCUCGUGUCGUGAGAUGUUGGGUUAAGUCCCGCAACGAGCGCAACCCUUGUGAAUAGUUGCCAGCACGUCAUGGUGGGAACUCUAUUCAGACUGCCCAGAUCAACUGGGAGGAAGGUGGGGACGACGUCAGGUCAGUAUGGCCCUUACGCCUUGGGCUGCACACGUACUACAAUGCCCAGUACAAUGAGAACCGAUGCCGCGAGGUGGAGGAAAUCUGUAAAACUGGGCCCAGUUCGGAUUGGAGGCUGCAACUCGCCUCCAUGAAGUUGGAAUCGCUAGUAAUGGCGCAUCAUCUACGGCGCCGUGAAUACGUUCCC
This 400-nucleotide ribosomal RNA is filed under the name uncultured bacterium. RNAcentral describes it as "bacterial SSU rRNA". It matches the Rfam family "Bacterial small subunit ribosomal RNA", at positions 975 to 1375 of the family's 1533-position model. The record is from RNAcentral.